GAUGAACGCUGGCGGCGUGCCUAAUACAUGCAAGUCGAGCGAACAGACGAGGAGCUUGCUCCUCUGACGUUAGCGGCGGACGGGUGAGUAACACGUGGAUAACCUACCUAUAAGACUGGGAUAACUUCGGGAAACCGGAGUUAAUACCGGAUAAUAUAUUGAACCGCAUGGUUCAAUAGUGAAAGACGGUUUUGCUGUCACUUAUAGAUGGAUCCGCGCCGCAUUAGCUAGUUGGUAAGGUAACGGCUUACCAAGGCAACGAUGCGUAGCCGACCUGAGAGGGUGAUCGGCCACACUGGAACUGAGACACGGUCCAGACUCCUACGGGAGGCAGCAGUAGGGAAUCUUCCGCAAGGGGCGAAAGCCUGACGGAGCAACGCCGCGUGAGUGAUGAAGGUCUUCGGAUCGUAAAACUCUGUUAUUAGGGAAGAACAAAUGUGUAAGUAACUAUGCACGUCUUGACGGUACCUAAUCAGAAAGCCACGGCUAACUACGUG
Molecule: ribosomal RNA, 497 nt
Filed under: uncultured bacterium
Lineage: Bacteria
Description: partial 16S ribosomal RNA
Rfam family: Bacterial small subunit ribosomal RNA
Source: RNAcentral